GAGUUUGAUCAUGGCUCAGAUUGAACGCUGGCGGCAGGCCUAACACAUGCAAGUCGAACGGUAACAGGAAACAGCUUGCUGUUUCGCUGACGAGUGGCGGACGGGUGAGUAAUGUCUGGGAAACUGCCUGAUGGAGGGGGAUAACUACUGGAAACGGUAGCUAAUACCGCAUAACGUCGCAAGACCAAAGAGGGGGACCUUCGGGCCUCUUGCCAUCAGAUGUGCCCAGAUGGGAUUAGCUAGUAGGUGGGGUAACGGCUCACCUAGGCGACGAUCCCUAGCUGGUCUGAGAGGAUGACCAGCCACACUGGAACUGAGACACGGUCCAGACUCCUACGGGAGGCAGCAGUGGGGAAUAUUGCACAAUGGGCGCAAGCCUGAUGCAGCCAUGCCGCGUGUAUGAAGAAGGCCUUCGGGUUGUAAAGUACUUUCAGCGGGGAGGAAGGGAGUAAAGUUAAUACCUUUGCUCAUUGACGUUACCCGCAGAAGAAGCACCGGCUAACUCCGUGCCAGCAGCCGCGGUAAUACGGAGGGUGCAAGCGUUAAUCGGAAUUACUGGGCGUAAAGCGCACGCAGGCGGUUUGUUAAGUCAGAUGUGAAAUCCCCGGGCUCAACCUGGGAACUGCAUCUGAUACUGGCAAGCUUGAGUCUCGUAGAGGGGGGUAGAAUUCCAGGUGUAGCGGUGAAAUGCGUAGAGAUCUGGAGGAAUACCGGUGGCGAAGGCGGCCCCCUGGACGAAGACUGACGCUCAGGUGCGAAAGCGUGGGGAGCAAACAGGAUUAGAUACCCUGGUAGUCCACGCCGUAAACGAUGUCGACUUGGAGGUUGUGCCCUUGAGGCGUGGCUUCCGGAGCUAACGCGUUAAGUCGACCGCCUGGGGAGUACGGCCGCAAGGUUAAAACUCAAAUGAAUUGACGGGGGCCCGCACAAGCGGUGGAGCAUGUGGUUUAAUUCGAUGCAACGCGAAGAACCUUACCUGGUCUUGACAUCCACGGAAUUUUUCAGAGAUGAGAAUGUGCCUUCGGGAACCGUGAGACAGGUGCUGCAUGGCUGUCGUCAGCUCGUGUUGUGAAAUGUUGGGUUAAGUCCCGCAACGAGCGCAACCCUUAUCCUUUGUUGCCAGCGGUCCGGCCGGGAACUCAAAGGAGACUGCCAGUGAUAAACUGGAGGAAGGUGGGGAUGACGUCAAGUCAUCAUGGCCCUUACGACCAGGGCUACACACGUGCUACAAUGGCGCAUACAAAGAGAAGCGACCUCGCGAGAGCAAGCGGACCUCAUAAAGUGCGUCGUAGUCCGGAUUGGAGUCUGCAAUUCGACUCCAUGAAGUCGGAAUCGCUAGUAAUCGUGGAUCAGAAUGCCACGGUGAAUACGUUCCCGGGCCUUGUACACACCGCCCGUCACACCAUGGGAGUGGGUUGCAAAAGAAGUAGGUAGCUUAACCUUCGGGAGGGCGCUUACCACUUUGUGAUUCAUGACUGGGGUGAAGUCGUAACAAGGUAACCGUAGGGGAACCUGCGGUUG
RNAcentral lists this ribosomal RNA (1521 nucleotides) under metagenome. Its description in RNAcentral is "bacterial SSU rRNA". It matches the Rfam family "Bacterial small subunit ribosomal RNA". The record is from RNAcentral.